This 253-nucleotide long non-coding RNA is filed under the name Malus domestica (apple). RNAcentral describes it as "long non-coding RNA (MDOM_LNC019348)". The record is from RNAcentral. Lineage: Eukaryota; Viridiplantae; Streptophyta; Magnoliopsida; Rosales; Rosaceae.
GCAAAGAGGAAUCAACAAAGGUAUAAUUUCUCAACUCACUUUGUUUUGAGUUGAGUCUUGGUUCACCCAACUACUAGGCUUUGAAUUUCAUGGUUAAUGUUUUGUUUUUAAGUGCAUACAAGCAUGAUUCCACCUUUAAUUUGUUAAUUGCAUGCUAUAGAUGUUGCUUAAAUGAACAUGUUUUUCACAAAAUUUCCUUCACUACUCACACUUAUUUUUCGCCCCUCUAGGUUUUAGUGCUGAACUUUCGUGU